This 484-nucleotide ribosomal RNA is filed under the name uncultured bacterium. RNAcentral describes it as "partial 16S ribosomal RNA". It matches the Rfam family "Bacterial small subunit ribosomal RNA", at positions 30 to 507 of the family's 1533-position model. The record is from RNAcentral.
AUUGAACGCUGGCGGAAUGCUUUACACAUGCAAGUCGAACGGCAGCACGGGGGCGACCCUGGUGGCGAGUGGCGAACGGGUGAGUAAUACAUCGGAACGUGCCCGGUCGUGGGGGAUAACGUAGCGAAAGUUACGCUAAUACCGCAUACGAUCUGAGGAUGAAAGCGGGGGACCUUCGGGCCUCGCGCGAUCGGAGCGGCCGAUGUCAGAUUAGGUAGUUGGUGGGGUAAAGGCCUACCAAGCCGACGAUCUGUAGCUGGUCUGAGAGGACGACCAGCCACACUGGGACUGAGACACGGCCCAGACUCCUACGGGAGGCAGCAGUGGGGAAUUUUGGACAAUGGGCGCAAGCCUGAUCCAGCCAUUCCGCGUGCAGGACGAAGGCCUUCGGGUUGUAAACUGCUUUUGUAUGGAACGAAAAGGCUCUGGCUAAUACCUGGGGCUCAUGACGGUACCGUAAGAAUAAGCACCGGCUAACUACGUG